This 501-nucleotide ribosomal RNA is filed under the name uncultured bacterium. RNAcentral describes it as "partial 16S ribosomal RNA". It matches the Rfam family "Bacterial small subunit ribosomal RNA", at positions 30 to 523 of the family's 1533-position model. The record is from RNAcentral.
AUUGAACGCUGGCGGCAGGCUUAACACAUGCAAGUCGAGCGGGGUAAGGUAGCUUGCUACCGGACCUAGCGGCGGACGGGUGAGUAAUGCUUAGGAAUCUGCCUAUUAGUGGGGGACAACAUCUCGAAAGGGAUGCUAAUACUGCAUACGUCCUACGGGAGCAAGCAGCGGAUCUUCGGACCUUGCGCCAAUAUAUGAGCCUAAGUCGGAUUAGCUAGUUGGUGGGGUAGAGGGCUACCGAGGCGACGAUCUGUAGCGGGUCUGGGAGGAUGAUACGCCACACUGGGACUGAGACACGGCCCACACUCCUACGGGAGGCAGCAGUGGGGAAUAUUGGACAAUGGGGGGAACCCUGAUCCAGCCAUGCCGCGUGUGUGAAGAAGGCCUUAUGGUUGUAAAGCACUUUAAGCGAGGAGGAGGCUACUUUAGUUAAUACCUAGAGAUAGUGGACGUUACUCGCAGAAUAAGCACCGGCUAACUCUGUGCCAGCCGCCGCCGUAG